This 444-nucleotide long non-coding RNA is filed under the name Homo sapiens (human). RNAcentral's name for it is "non-protein coding lnc-HENMT1-1:1". Lineage: Eukaryota; Metazoa; Chordata; Mammalia; Primates; Hominidae. The record is from RNAcentral.
UUCCGGGCAAAGAGAAGAGCACUGCAGUAGCUCCAGAACAUGACAUAGAAUAGGAGGGGCUAUGCUUUGGGCCAGCUUGUCCUGUGGACCAAAUAAUGGAAAAACAAGGAAUCAGAGCAUGACAGCCAGGGACAAUGAGAACAGCCCCUUGGGAGGAACUGUCCUCCUUCCAUCACCAAGGGCCAUCCUGAACCUCCUGUCACCUACAUAUCAUUCAAAAUUUUAGAUUCUGGCUAUCAGAAUACAUGAAAAAUAUAUGACUGUGCCCUGGGCAAGGUAGCAGAAGGUGCUGGAACACAGAGCGGAGAAUUGCUAAUGUUUUCCUGCCAGCUCUGGUGAGAUGGUAGUUGCUGACAGCCAUGCUUUGUGAUCACAGAUUGUCUGCCCACUCAUAUUGCCAAGCCUAGCUUGUGAUUUAUAAAUUUAUUUUUUCUGAUCCUCUAA